UGAAAAUAACUUGUCCAUGUCUUUUUCCCACUUGGUUCAGUAAAUGGGGCUCACUGAACCAAGUAUUACACAGGUGGACCACCCAGAAGUGGAAGCGUGCAGCUAAUUUACCUCCCAGGCUGGGAGGGUGCAGUAGGUAAAUUGCCGACUGCUGGGUGGCCGCUGUUCGUACAAACGAACACGUAGCGGUGGCCAUCUUCAUUCGAACACGGUCAGCGGUGUGUGCAGCCAAAUCUAUGGAACUGAAAUCGGCUACACGUUUAGAUGAACACCACUGACCCGUACCUUCUCCUCCACUGAGUGUUCAGCCACAGAGACUAAGUCCCGUUCGGCUAUUUGAACUCACUGCUAUACUGAGCCCUUUUGCACGAACAGCCCCGUUCGUGCAUUUGAA
Pelobates cultripes (western spadefoot toad) is the source of this 394-nucleotide non-coding RNA. The record is from the annotation of a GenBank genome assembly. Lineage: Eukaryota; Metazoa; Chordata; Amphibia; Anura; Pelobatidae.